UCGAAAGGAGUACGCUACGCGAGCGGUUAUAGAUUUUUCGUGGAAAUUAGAUGAUUUUAUUUUCUAAAUAUUAUGUUUACGACUUAAUAAAAACUGAAUGCAGGAGUGUCACUCAUUAUGUAUUUUGAGUUACUUCUAUUUCAUAUGAGUCGGAGGAGAUUUGUUAGAGGGCCAAUGUUGGAAAAAAGUCGUUGAACGGUUUUUUGCCGUAAUAAUGGAAUAUUAUAGAAGCUCAAAAUGCCAUGUGUUCACGAAGUUUCUUCAUAUCAAUCCUCUUUCACUUCUGGAUGUAGUGUUACCUGAAGGAAGCAUAAAAGAGUACCAUUUUCAGCUGGAAGCUGAGGCAGACUGUUGCUGUAACUAAAGAAAUGCUUUAUGACAAAAAUUGAUUGGCCAACAAAUGAACUACUGAAAUGACUACAAUGGUACCUAUUGUUUUGCCUGUACAUACUUAACUUUCGAUUUACUGUUGGCAUCUUUACCUCACAUGCGGCUGAUUUUUGAUGGAUUAGUGUGAGCAACUGGAAGUUAUUUGGACCCCACUGAAACAACAAAUCAUCUGCAUUGAAUCUUUCUUCCUGGUUACGGCUUUCUCUCGCACUUGCAAAUUUGAAGAAUUACAUUCUACAGUUAGUUAAGAUUGCCCAACAAAUGCGAGAAAACUGAAAUUAAUUUUGAUGCUGCCAAUGUCGCCUACAAUGGUAUCAUAUUUGCUUAUUUUGGUUUGCUGUUGUCAUCUUCACAUUGCUUCAUCAGGCAGUUAAUUUUGGACCAAUGAAAGAAAACACCUGGAAAUUUAUUUGGAAACCACUAACAUCACGUCAUUUUGGCCUUGCUCUGCACUCACAUUAAGAUCGACGGUGGAGAAGACAAAGAAGAUCCCGUAGUUAGAAUAUUUUUUGCCCUAUUAUAAUCAAGCUCUUAUUUUGCAUGUUUUUUAUUUUUAGUUUGCUUAUUUUUUUGUAGUUUAUUUUAUUUGAGUCAAUUUUAAUUU
Molecule: long non-coding RNA, 994 nt
Filed under: Agrilus planipennis (emerald ash borer)
Lineage: Eukaryota; Metazoa; Arthropoda; Insecta; Coleoptera; Buprestidae
Description: uncharacterized LOC108740984, transcript variant X3
Source: RNAcentral